This 179-nucleotide ribosomal RNA is filed under the name Pleroma mirabile. Its description in RNAcentral is "Tibouchinopsis mirabilis 5.8S ribosomal RNA". The stretch from base 26 to 179 matches the Rfam family "5.8S ribosomal RNA". From Rfam's summary of the family: 5.8S ribosomal RNA (5.8S rRNA) is a component of the large subunit of the eukaryotic ribosome. The record is from RNAcentral. Lineage: Eukaryota; Viridiplantae; Streptophyta; Magnoliopsida; Myrtales; Melastomataceae.
CGCGAUCUCUGCUCUUAGUCUUAAUGACUCUCGGCAACGGAUAUCUCGGCUCUUGCAUCGAUGAAGAACGUAGCGAAAUGCGAUACUUGGUGUGAAUUGCAGAAUCCCGCGAACCAUCAAUUCUUUGAACGCAAGUUGCGCCCGAAGCCAUCCGGCCGAGGGCACGCCUGCCUGGGUGU